CAUAUGAGGCCGUACGCGGCUGGAUUAUUUUAUUACCCUUGUCUUUUGCGCACUUGUUGUUUCCUGGGCGGGUUCGCCCGCCACCAGGACCACACCAUAAACCUUUUUUAUGCAGUUGCAAUCAGCGUCAGUACAACAAAUGUAAAUCAUUUACAACUUUCAACAACGGAUCUCUUGGUUCUGGCAUCGAUGAAGAACGCAGCGAAAUGCGAUACGUAGUGUGAAUUGCAGAAUUCAGUGAAUCAUCGAAUCUUUGAACGCACAUUGCGCCCUUUGGUAUUCCAAAGGGCAUGCCUGUUCGAGCGUCAUUUGUACCCUCAAGCUUUGCUUGGUGUUGGGCGUUUUUUGUCUUUGGUUGCCAAAGACUCGCCUUAAAACGAUUGGCAGCCGGCCUCCUGGUUUCGCAGCGCAGCACAUUUUUGCGCUUGCAAUCAGCAACAGAGGGCGGCACUCCAUCAAGACUCCAUUUUCACGUUUGACCUCGGAUCAGGUAGGGAUACCCGCUGAACUUAAGCAUAUCA
Molecule: ribosomal RNA, 521 nt
Filed under: Curvularia inaequalis
Lineage: Eukaryota; Fungi; Ascomycota; Dothideomycetes; Pleosporales; Pleosporaceae
Description: eukaryotic LSU rRNA
Rfam family: 5.8S ribosomal RNA (bases 155-308)
Source: RNAcentral